UGGUUCUGGCAUCGAUGAAGAACGCAGCGAAAUGCGAUAAGUAAUGUGAAUUGCAGAAUUCAGUGAAUCAUCGAAUCUUUGAACGCACAUUGCGCCCUUUGGUAUUCCGAAGGGCAUGCCUGUUCGAGCGUCAUUUCAAACUCUCAAGCUUAUGCUUGGUGUUGGGCUUUUUUUCGUCUCUCACCAGACGUGCCUGAAACUCAUUGGCAGUAGCGCCUAGCUCUUUAGCGUAGUUAAUUUUUUUUCCCGCUCUAGUAGUUUUCUUAGGUGCUACCGGCCAGAUGAACCCCCCCCAUUUUUUUCUAUGGUUUGACCUCGGAUCAGGUAGGGAUACCCGCUGA
This 341-nucleotide unclassified non-coding RNA is filed under the name uncultured fungus. RNAcentral's name for it is "partial contains 5.8S ribosomal RNA and internal transcribed spacer 2". The stretch from base 1 to 133 matches the Rfam family "5.8S ribosomal RNA", at positions 22 to 154 of the family's 154-position model. Lineage: Eukaryota; Fungi. The record is from RNAcentral.